Molecule: ribosomal RNA, 699 nt
Filed under: uncultured bacterium
Lineage: Bacteria
Description: bacterial SSU rRNA
Rfam family: Bacterial small subunit ribosomal RNA
Source: RNAcentral
GGAUUUAUUUGNGCGUANAGGGCUCGUAGGCGGUUCAACAAGUCGGUCGUGAAAACCCGGGGCUCAACCCCGGGACGCCGGUCGAAACUGUUGUGACUAGAGUUCGGUAGAGGUGAGUGGAAUUCUCGGUGUAGCGGUGGAAUGCGCAGAUAUCGAGAGGAACACCAGUAGCGAAGGCGGCUCACUGGGCCGAAACUGACGCUAAGGAGCGAAAGCAUGGGGAGCAAACAGGAUUAGAUACCCUGGUAGUCCAUGCCGUAAACGAUGAACACUAGGUGUGGCGGAUUCAUUGACAUCUGCCGUGCCGUAGCUAACGCAUUAAGUGUUCCGCCUGGGGAGUACGGCCGCAAGGCUAAAACUCAAAGGAAUUGACGGGGCCCCGCACAAGCGGCGGAGCAUGCGGCUUAAUUCGAUGCAACCCGAAGAACCUUACCUGGACUUGACAUCAUGGGUCUACCUGUAGAAAUAUAGGGUGCUUAUGCGCCCAUGACAGGUGGUGCAUGGCUGUCGUCAGCUCGUGUCGUGAGAUGUUGGGUUAAGUCCCGCAACGAGCGCANCCCUGUNCUAUGUUGCCAGCACGUAAUGGUGGGGACUCAUGGGANACUGCCGGGGAUANCUCGNAGGAAGGCGGGGAUGACGUCAGUCAUCAUGCCCUUAUGUCNAGGGCUGCACCCAUGCUACAAUGGGUGAUACACGGGC